GCAUUAAUGGGGUAGUGGUAACCUGGGUCGUUGCCAUUCGUUAAGCUCGACCCGCCGGGGGUUCGAUUCCCUCUUAAUGCA
Non-coding RNA from Desarmillaria tabescens, 81 nucleotides. The record is from the annotation of a RefSeq genome assembly. Lineage: Eukaryota; Fungi; Basidiomycota; Agaricomycetes; Agaricales; Physalacriaceae.